Molecule: ribosomal RNA, 253 nt
Filed under: uncultured bacterium
Lineage: Bacteria
Description: partial 16S ribosomal RNA
Rfam family: Bacterial small subunit ribosomal RNA
Source: RNAcentral
GACAGAGGGUGCAAACGUUGUUCGGAAUUACUGGGCGUAAAGCGCGUGUAGGCGGCCCUGCAAGUCGGAUGUGAAAUCCCACGGCUCAACCAUGGAAGUGCAUUCGAAACUGCAGAGCUAGAGUCCUGGAGAGGAAGGUGGAAUGCUUGGUGUAGAGGUGAAAUUCGUAGAUAUCAAGCGGAACACCGGUGGCGAAGGCGGCCUUCUGGACAGUGACUGACGCUGAGACGCGAUAGCGUGGGGAGCAAACAGG